GGGUCUAUCCAAAACUAUAAGUCGGCAGGUUUCUUCCUGUAUAGCGUCUUUAGUUAAAACAAUAAAUUGUUUAGAUUUAUUAAACUGUUCUAGAAAAUAAGAACGAUUAUAGUUGCCGAUAGCAGUUUGAUAUGCUGUUUUAUAAUGAUUACUGUUAUUAGUAUGAUAAUCUAAAAGCUCAAGUAAAGAAACAUAAUAAUUGACAAAAUCAAUAUUUAAAACUUACAGUAGAGUUCUGUAGAUCUUCAAUACUUCAAACUUUUAUAUAUAUUAGAAAUUUUACAGGAGAGAGGGAGAAUGCAAAGACAAUCUAAAGAAAAAGAAACGCCUCAACAAGGGUGAGGGCAUCCCAAUUUAUACAAAAAAGAAGAUACGAAAGGAUCAGGCGUGUCCUUGCUAGUGGAGUCGAUCAGUAAUCCUUUUCUUUUUUUCUUUAACUCUCAGCCGUAGGAAGUGGAAGGCAUGAGACAGGUUGUCAGUUGAGUGGAGCAUUAUUGCUGCCAGCUGGCGUCAUUUUCUGAUAAUUGAAGGAGCAAGUGGCUUUUCGUUUCUGAUGGUGGAAACACUGUGGUUGUCCUAUUCUGAUUAUUGGUCAUCUUUUCUGUAGU
RNAcentral lists this long non-coding RNA (608 nucleotides) under Panax ginseng (ginseng). RNAcentral describes it as "long non-coding RNA (PGIN_LNC012179)". The record is from RNAcentral. Lineage: Eukaryota; Viridiplantae; Streptophyta; Magnoliopsida; Apiales; Araliaceae.